RNAcentral lists this ribosomal RNA (468 nucleotides) under uncultured bacterium. RNAcentral's name for it is "partial 16S ribosomal RNA". It matches the Rfam family "Bacterial small subunit ribosomal RNA", at positions 28 to 507 of the family's 1533-position model. The record is from RNAcentral.
GACGAUCGCUGGCGGCGUGCUUAACACAUGCAAGUCGAACGGAAAGGCUCCAGCUUGCUGGAGUACUCGAGUGGCGAACGGGUGAGUAACACGUGGGUGAUCUGCCCUGCACUUCGGGAUAAGCCUGGGAAACUGGGUCUAAUACCGGAUAGGACCGCACUUUGGUGUGUGUGGUGGAAAGGUUUUUCUGGUGUGGGAUGAGCUCGCGGCCUAUCAGUUUGUUGGUGGGGUAAUGGCCUACCAAGACGGCGACGGGUAGCCGGCCUGAGAGGGUGGACGGUCACAUUGGGACUGAGAUACGGCCCAGACUCCUACGGGAGGCAGCAGUGGGGAAUAUUGCACAAUGGGGGAAACCCUGAUGCAGCGACGCCGCGUGGGGGAGGAAGGCCUUCGGGUUGUAAACUCCGUUCGCUAGGGACGAAGCUUUUUGUGACGGUACCUGGAGAAGAAGCACCGGCUAACUACGUG